RNAcentral lists this ribosomal RNA (480 nucleotides) under uncultured bacterium. Its description in RNAcentral is "partial 16S ribosomal RNA". It matches the Rfam family "Bacterial small subunit ribosomal RNA", at positions 28 to 507 of the family's 1533-position model. The record is from RNAcentral.
GAUGAACGCUGGCGGCGUGCCUAACACAUGCAAGUCGAACGGAGAUUACGGACGGAAGUUUUCGGAUGGAAGCCUGUAAUUCUUAGUGGCGGACGGGUGAGUAACGCGUGGGCAACCUGCCCUAUACAGGGGGAUAGCAGCUGGAAACGGCUGGUAAGACCGCAUAAGUCGGUUAAAUCGCAUGAUUUGAUCGGGAAAUGAGCAAUCAGGUAUAGGAUGGGCCCGCGUCCGAUUAGCCAGUUGGCAGGGUAAAAGCCUACCAAAGCGACGAUCGGUAGCCGGACUGAGAGGUCGGACGGCCACAUUGGGACUGAGACACGGCCCAAACUCCUACGGGAGGCAGCAGUGGGGGAUAUUGCACAAUGGAGGAAACUCUGAUGCAGCGACGCCGCGUGAGUGAAGAAGUAUUUCGGUAUGUAAAGCUCUAUCAGCAGGGAAGAUGAUGACGGUACCUGACUAGAAGCCCCGGCUAACUACGUG